GGUGCAUGGAGUAGACGACGAACAGCACCGGGGGCGCCGAGAGCAGCAGGAUGUGGAAGAGCCAGAAGCGGUAGUGGGAGACCGGGAAGGCGCGGUCGUAGCAGGUCUGGCGACAGCCCGGCUGCAGCGUGUUGCACACGAACUCCUCUUGCUCGUCCUCGAACACGGCGCCGCCCACCGUGGCCAGCACCAGGAUGCGGAAGAUCAGCAUGACCACCAGCCAGAGGCGGCCCACGAGCGGCGACUGCAGCUGCACGGCGUCCAGCAGCGAGCCCAGGAACGCCCACUCCCCCAUGGCGCUGGGGACGCGGGGCGGGGAGUCAGGGGAUGGGGCAAGUCAGGGACCCCUGCCCCUUCCAAGCCUAUCGGGGUGGGGUCCGUUGGACCUUCUCUGACUUCAGGGUGAGUCGUGAGGUAGGAGAGGCCCGGGUUUAGCGAUGAGACCAGUAUGAAACGGAGGGCCACGGGAGGGCCCGAGGGGAGCAGGCGACGCUCAGCUAUGGGUUACCUUCUCUUUGGGACCGAUGGGUGCUGGGGAGGAUCCCCCAUUUGCAUUUUAGCCGCACCCCCUGAGCCGUCUCCGUUCGACCCUGGGAUCCUCCAGAUCCCAGAUUCUUAGGAAGGACCUUGGAGAUCAGCUGGACCAGCCCCUGACUUGCCUGGUUUCGGAAGCGGAAACCCAGCGGUGCCCUUAGCUGUCAAGGAUGCUGUGGGAAGAGUGGAGCCUCGAACCCGAGACGCUAGACCCAAUUUGGUGCCCAUGGGAGGAGUGGGAGUGGCAGAGGCAGCGAGACCACUCCUUUCUUGGCCCACCAUUUCUCUCACCAUUUUUACUGCAGUGAACUCCUCUCAGGGUGGGGGGCUGGUACAGAGGCAACUCCGCUUUCAUAACUCUCACAGGGUCCUUUGUCGGAGGUGUCCCUGCCCUCCUACCCCAGCGUGGUGGGAGUGCGACGCCAGGCUUCUCCCUCCUCCCUGGCCUCCUGUGCCUCCAGCCUCCACAUCUCCUGAGAUCCUCCCCACCCCACACUUACACAGGUCCCCACACGCCCCUGGUGCCCCUAAACCGCCACCCAACCCCACUCACCCUGGGGCCGGGACUGGGGUGUCAGAGCUGAGCCAGGGACCUUGGGAGGUGGCUGGGACCGGCGCCUCCUGCUCCCUCUUUCAUUUUCCCUUUCGGAUUUGGCCAGGAUGGAGGACAGGACAGGAUGGCUGAGAGGGGCUAGCGCUCCCCCUUCUCUUAAAGGAACAGGGUGACCCUGCUGGCUGGCUCCGCCCUUGGGAACAGGCACGGACCACGCCCCUUGCUGGGCUCUGUGGCCCUCACUCUUUAGCUAAAUUUCCAUCUGGAAAUGGGGGAGGGGGGUAACCAGAGCCACAUCCUUUAUCGAGGAAGCUGGGGGAUUCCUAGAAGCCCUUCCCAGACAGACCCUCAGUCUGGAGCCUAGAUCCACUACGCACUAACCAUGCCCUGUGAAGAUGGUCUUCGGGGACAGAGGGAGGUUUGGUGCUGGAGUUUAAGGGGCAGCAAACAUCUAACAGCUUCUGGUUCCAGCUCUGCCACCGCUCACCUUGGACAAAUCAUUCGGCGGUACUGAGCCAGGCUUUCCUGCCUUGUCAACAAAGGCGGCCAGUCCAGCUGACCCCCAAGUUUCCUUCCAGCUUUACAUCUUUUUUGGAACGGGGUCUCUCUACAUAGCCCAGGUCGAUCUUGAACUCCUGGCUUCAAGUGAUCCUCACACCUUAGCCUCCUGAGUAGCUGGGAUUCUCUACUUCUUAAUAUUGAAUUCCCAACCAUAUUACAGAGAACCAAAAAAACCCUUGUGCCUGCAAAAAAAAAAAAAAAAAAAAAAAUCCCAUAUGGAAAACCAUUAAAAUAUCCCAAGUGCCUGGCUUUGAUAGUUAAAUAAAAUCUUUGGUUUCCUUCCC
This 1932-nucleotide long non-coding RNA is filed under the name Homo sapiens (human). Its description in RNAcentral is "long non-coding RNA NONHSAT053543.2". Lineage: Eukaryota; Metazoa; Chordata; Mammalia; Primates; Hominidae. The record is from RNAcentral.